This 1235-nucleotide ribosomal RNA is filed under the name Streptomyces sp. E11(2011). RNAcentral describes it as "partial 16S ribosomal RNA". The record is from RNAcentral. Lineage: Bacteria; Bacillati; Actinomycetota; Actinomycetes; Kitasatosporales; Streptomycetaceae.
GCCCGGGAACGUAUUCACCGCAGCACUGCUGAUCUGCGAUUACUAGCAACUCCGACUUCAUGGGGUCGAGUUGCAGACCCCAAUCCGAACUGAGACAGGCUUUUUGAGAUUCGCUCCGCCUCGCGGCUUCGCAGCUCAUUGUACCUGCCAUUGUAGCACGUGUGCAGCCCAAGACAUAAGGGGCAUGAUGACUUGACGUCGUCCCCACCUUCCUCCGAGUUGACCCCGGCAGUCUCCUGUGAGUCCCCAUCACCCCGAAGGGCAUGCUGGCAACACAGAACAAGGGUUGCGCUCGUUGCGGGACUUAACCCAACAUCUCACGACACGAGCUGACGACAGCCAUGCACCACCUGUACACCGACCACAAGGGGGACCCUGUCUCCAGGGUUUUCCGGCGUAUGUCAAGCCUUGGUAAGGUUCUUCGCGUUGCGUCGAAUUAAGCCACAUGCUCCGCUGCUUGUGCGGGCCCCCCGUCAAUUCCUUUGAGUUUUAGCCUUGCGGCCGUACUCCCCAGGCGGGGAACUUAAUGCGUUAGCUGCGGCACCGACGACGUGGAAUGUCGCCAACACCUAGUUCCCACCGUUUACGGCGUGGACUACCAGGGUAUCUAAUCCUGUUCGCUCCCCACGCUUUCGCUCCUCAGCGUCAGUAAUGGCCCAGAGAUCCGCCUUCGCCACCGGUGUUCCUCCUGAUAUCUGCGCAUUUCACCGCUACACCAGGAAUUCCGAUCUCCCCUACCACACUCUAGUCUGCCCGUAUCGAAAUGCAGACCCGGGGUUAAGCCCCGGGCUUUCACAUCCGACGCGACAGACCGCCUACGAGCUCUUUACGCCCAAUAAUUCCGGACAACGCUCGCGCCCUACGUAUUACCGCGGCUGCUGGCACGUAGUUAGCCGGCGCUUCUUCUGCAGGUACCGUCACUUUCGCUUCUUCCCUGCUGAAAGAGGUUUACAACCCGAAGGCCGUCAUCCCUCACGCGGCGUCGCUGCAUCAGGCUUUCGCCCAUUGUGCAAUAUUCCCCACUGCUGCCUCCCGUAGGAGUCUGGGCCGUGUCUCAGUCCCAGUGUGGCCGGUCGCCCUCUCAGGCCGGCUACCCGUCGUCGCCUUGGUGAGCCGUUACCUCACCAACAAGCUGAUAGGCCGCGGGCUCAUCCUUCACCGCCGGAGCUUUCCACGCACAUCGGAUGCCCGAGCGCGUCGUAUCCGGUAUUAGACCCCGUUUCCAGGGCUUGUCC